RNAcentral lists this ribosomal RNA (485 nucleotides) under uncultured bacterium. RNAcentral describes it as "bacterial SSU rRNA". It matches the Rfam family "Bacterial small subunit ribosomal RNA", at positions 330 to 793 of the family's 1533-position model. The record is from RNAcentral.
CUAUCACUCCUACGGGAGGCAGCAGUGGGGGAAUAUUGCACAAUGGGCGCAAGCCUGAUGCAGCCCAUGCCGCGUGUAGUGUAAGAAGGCCUUCGGGUUGUAAAGUACUUUCAGCAGUGAGGAAGGUGGUAGUGUUAACUAGCACUAUCAUUUGACGUUAGCUGCAGAAGAAGCACCGGCUAACGUCCGUGCCAGCAGCCGACGGGUAAUACGGAGGGUGACGAGCGUUUAAUCGGGAAUUAACGUGGGCGUAAAGCGCAUGCAGGUGGUUUGUUAAGUCAGAUGUAGAAAGGCCCGGGGCUCAACCUCGGAAUUGCAUUUGAAACUGGCAGACUAGAGUACUGUAGAGGGGGUAGAAUUUCAGGUGUAGCGGUGAAAUGCGUAGAGAUCUGAAGGAAUACCGGUGGCGAAGGCGGCCCCCUGGACAGAUACUGACACUCAGAUGCGAAAGCGUGGGGAGCAAACAGGAUUAGAUACCCUGGUAG